GACGAACGCUGGCGGCGUGCUUAACACAUGCAAGUCGAACGGAAAGGCCCUGCUUUUGUGGGGUGCUCGAGUGGCGAACGGGUGAGUAACACGUGAGUAACCUGCCCUUGACUUUGGGAUAACUUCAGGAAACUGGGGCUAAUACCGGAUAGGAGCUCCUGCUGCAUGGUGGGGGUUGGAAAGUUUCGGCGGUUGGGGAUGGACGCGCGGCUUAUCAGCUUGUUGGUGGGGUAGUGGCUUACCAAGGCUUUGACGGGUAGCCGGCCUGAGAGGGUGACCGGCCACAUUGGGACUGAGAUACGGCGCAGACUCCUACGGGAGGCAGAAGUGGGGAGUAUUGCACAAUGGGCGGAAGCCUGAGGCAGCAACGCCGCGUGCGGGAUGACGGCCUUCGGGUUGUGAACCGCUUUCGCCUGUGACGAAGCGGGAGUGACGGUAAUGGGUAAAGAAGCACCGGCUAACUACGUG
Molecule: ribosomal RNA, 468 nt
Filed under: uncultured bacterium
Lineage: Bacteria
Description: partial 16S ribosomal RNA
Rfam family: Bacterial small subunit ribosomal RNA
Source: RNAcentral